GGGUUGUGAGGUUAAGUGACUAAGCGUACACGGUGGAUGCCUAGGCAGUCAGAGGCGAUGAAGGGCGUGCUAAUCUGCGAAAAGCGUCGGUAAGGUGAUAUGAACCGUUACAACCGGCGAUACCCGAAUGGGGAAACCCAGUGUGUUUCGACACACUAUCAUGUCAUGAAUACAUAGUGGCAUGAGGCGAACCGGGGGAACUGAAACAUCUAAGUACCCCGAGGAAAAGAAAUCAACCGAGAUUCCCCCAGUAGCGGCGAGCGAACGGGGAGGAGCCCAGAACCUGAAUCGGCUUGUGUUAGUGGAAGCGUCUGGAAAGUCGCGCAGCAAAGGGUGAUAGCCCCGUACACUAAAAUGCACAGGUCGUGAGUUCGAUGAGUAGGGCGGGACACGUGACAUCCUGUCUGAAUAUGGGGGGACCAUCCUCCAAGGCUAAAUACUCCUGACUGACCGAUAGUGAACCAGUACCGUGAGGGAAAGGCGAAAAGAACCCCGGCGAGGGGAGUGAAAUAGAACCUGAAACCGUGUACGUACAAGCAGUGGGAGCACCUUCGUGGUGUGACUGCGUACCUUUUGUAUAAUGGGUCAGCGACUUAUAUUUUGUAGCAAGGUUAACCGUAUAGGGGAGCCGUAGGAAACCGAGUCUUAACUGGGCGAAUAGUUGCAAGGUAUAGACCCGAAACCCGGUGAUCUAGCCAUGGGCAGGUUGAAGGUUGGGUAACACUAACUGGAGGACCGAACCGACUAAUGUUGAAAAAUUAGCGGAUGACUUGUGGCUGGGGGUGAAAGGCCAAUCAAACCGGGAGAUAGCUGGUUCUCCCGAAAGCUAUUUAGGUAGCGCCUCGUGAACUCAUCUUCGGGGGUAGAGCACUGUUUCGGCUAGGGGGCCAUCCCGGCUUACCAAACCGAUGCAAACUCCGAAUACCGAAGAAUGUUAUCACGGGAGACACACGGCGGGUGCUAACGUCCGUCGUGAAGAGGGAAACAACCCAGACCGCCAGCUAAGGUCCCAAAGUCAUGGUUAAGUGGGAAACGAUGUGGGAAGGCAUAGACAGCCAGGAUGUUGGCUUAGAAGCAGCCAUCAUUUAAAGAAAGCGUAAUAGCUCACUGGUCGAGUCGGCCUGGCGAUGUGCUAAACCAUGCACCGAAGCUGCGGCUUAGGGGAGCGUUCUGUAAGCCGUUGAAGGUGGCCUGUGAGGGUUGCUGGAGGUAUCAGAAGUGCGAAUGCUGACAUAAGUAACGAUAAAGCGGGUGAAAAGCCCGCUCGCCGGAAGACCAAGGGUUCCUGUCCAACGUUAAUCGGGGCAGGGUGAGUCGACCCUAAGGCGAGGCUGAAAAGCGUAGUCGAUGGGAAACAGGUUAAUAUUCCUGUACUUGGUGUUACUGCGAAGGGGACGGAGAAGGCUAGGCUGGCCGGGCGACGGUUGUCCCGGUUUAAGCGUGUAGGGGUGUGACUGGUAAAUCCGGUUGCAUAUCAACCCUGAGGCGUGAUGACGAUGCACUACGGUGCAGAAGUAGUUGAUGCCCUGCUUCCAGGAAAAUCCUCUAAGCUCCAGGUAACAUUAAAUCGUACCCCAAACCGACACAGGUGGUCAGGUAGAGAAUACCAAGGCGCUUGAGAGAACUCGGGUGAAGGAACUAGGCAAAAUGGUGCCGUAACUUCGGGAGAAGGCACGCUGGCAUGUAGGUGAAGUCCCUCGCGGAUGGAGCUGAAGCCAGUCGAAGAUACCAGCUGGCUGCAACUGUUUAAUAAAAACACAGCACUGUGCAAACACGAAAGUGGACGUAUACGGUGUGACGCCUGCCCGGUGCUGGAAGGUUAAUUGAUGGGGUCAGCCGCAAGGCGAAGCUCUUGAUCGAAGCCCCAGUAAACGGCGGCCGUAACUAUAACGGUCCUAAGGUAGCGAAAUUCCUUGUCGGGUAAGUUCCGACCUGCACGAAUGGCGUAAUGAUGGCCAGGCUGUCUCCACCCGAGACUCAGUGAAAUUGAACUCGCUGUGAAGAUGCAGUGUACCCGCGGCAAGACGGAAAGACCCCGUGAACCUUUACUAUAGCUUGACACUGAACAUUGAGCCUUGAUGUGUAGGAUAGGUGGGAGGCUUUGAAGCGUGGACGCCAGUCUGCGUGGAGCCAUCCUUGAAAUACCACCCUUUAAUGUUUGAUGUUCUAACUCGGCCCCAUAAUCUGGGGUGAGGACAGUGUCUGGUGGGUAGUUUGACUGGGGCGGUCUCCUCCCAAAGAGUAACGGAGGAGCACGAAGGUUAGCUAAUCACGGUCGGACAUCGUGAGGUUAGUGCAAAGGCAUAAGCUAGCUUGACUGCGAGAGUGACGGCUCGAGCAGGUACGAAAGUAGGUCUUAGUGAUCCGGUGGUUCUGAAUGGAAGGGCCAUCGCUCAACGGAUAAAAGGUACUCCGGGGAUAACAGGCUGAUACCGCCCAAGAGUUCAUAUCGACGGCGGUGUUUGGCACCUCGAUGUCGGCUCAUCACAUCCUGGGGCUGAAGUAGGUCCCAAGGGUAUGGCUGUUCGCCAUUUAAAGUGGUACGCGAGCUGGGUUUAGAACGUCGUGAGACAGUUCGGUCCCUAUCUGCCGUGGGCGUUGGAAGAUUGAGAGGGGUUGCUCCUAGUACGAGAGGACCGGAGUGAACGCACCACUGGUGUUCGGGUUGUCAUGCCAAUGGCAUUGCCCGGUAGCUAAGUGCGGAAAAGAUAAGCGCUGAAAGCAUCUAAGCGCGAAACUUGCCUCAAGAUGAGUCUUCCCUGGGCCUUCAAGGCCCCUGAAGGAACGUUUAAGACUAAGACGUUGAUAGGCUGGGUGUGUAAGUGCAGCGAUGCAUUGAGCUAACCAGUACUAAUGAUCCGUGAGGCUUAACCUUACAACACCGAAGGUGUUU
This 2893-nucleotide ribosomal RNA is filed under the name Serratia marcescens. RNAcentral's name for it is "bacterial LSU rRNA". It matches the Rfam family "Bacterial large subunit ribosomal RNA". The record is from RNAcentral. Lineage: Bacteria; Pseudomonadati; Pseudomonadota; Gammaproteobacteria; Enterobacterales; Yersiniaceae.